RNAcentral lists this long non-coding RNA (1100 nucleotides) under Lathyrus oleraceus (garden pea). Its description in RNAcentral is "Pisum sativum (pea) long non-coding RNA (PSAT_LNC033763)". The record is from RNAcentral. Lineage: Eukaryota; Viridiplantae; Streptophyta; Magnoliopsida; Fabales; Fabaceae.
AUUUCCAACAUGAAGAUCCUCUAGGUUGAAAAAUCCCUUCUCAAAAGCAUCUGUGUGAUCAAUAUAAGGAUUGGGAUCAUGAGUUUUAAUUUUGUAAUUAUAUUUAGGUUUUUUGACUUCACGACUACCCCAAGGGAGCCAAGGAUUAGGAUUACGGGUAUAAACUUCUGAAUUGAAAUUAUGUUUUUUGGUUUCACGACUACCCCAAGGACGCCAAGGAUUAGGAUCACGUGUAUUAACUUCAGAAUCAUAAUUAAGUUUGUUUAUUUCACGACUACCCCAAGGGAGCCAAGGAUUAGGAUCACGGGGAUUAACUUCAGAAUUGUAAUUAGAUUUUUUGGUUUCACGACUACCCCAAGGGAGCCAAGGAUUAGGAUCAUGUGUAUCAGCUUCAGAAUUGUAAUUACGUUUUUUGGUUUCACGACUACCCCAAGGGAGCCAAGGAUUAAGAUCACGGGUAUUAACUUCAUUAUUGUAAAUAGGUUUUAUGGUUUCACGACUACCCCAAGGGAGCCAAGGAUUAGGAUCACGGGUAUUAACUCUAGAAGUUGUAAGUAAGUAGUCUUUUGGUUUCCCGACUACCCCAAGGGAGCAAGGAUUAAGAUCACGGGUAUUAACUUCAGAAUUGUAAAUAGGUUUUUUGUUUCACGACUACCCCAAGGGAGCCAAGGAUUAAGAUCACGGGUAUUAAUUCAUUAUUGUAAAUAGGUUUUAUGGUUUCACGACUACCCCAAGGGAGCCAAGGAUUAGGAUCACGGGUAUUAACUUCAGAAUUGUAAAUAGGUCUUUUGGUUUCCGACUACCCAAGGGAGCCAAGGAUUAGGAUCACGGGUAUUAACUUCAGAAUUGUAAAUAGGUUUUUGAUUUCACGACUACCCCAAGGGAGCCAAGGAUUAAGAUCACGGGUAUUAACUUCAUUAUUGUAAAUAGGUUUUAUGGUUUCAGCGACUACCCAAGGAGCCAAGGAUUAGGAUCACGGUAUUAACUUCAGAAUUGUAAAUGGUCUUUUGGUUUCCCGACUACCCAAGGGAGCAAGGAUUAGAUCACGGUAUUAACUUCAGAAUUGUAAAUAGGUUUUUGAUUUCACGACUACCCCAAGG